Molecule: long non-coding RNA, 756 nt
Organism: Salvia hispanica
Lineage: Eukaryota; Viridiplantae; Streptophyta; Magnoliopsida; Lamiales; Lamiaceae
Source: RefSeq, a predicted model, not a curated record
GUUCCUAGUUGCAGUGACAAAGAAAGGGGGUGAAACUGAGUUCUCUUUUUUUUUUGAAUGAAGAGAGAUUCUUGGAGAUGAGGAAGGAGGGAGACAUGUUACCUAAGGGAUGCAGGGCUGCUGUAAGAAAGCCUGCAGAAUCCUACUCCAAGCUCUCUCUCUAACUCUUAAUUUGCUGAAAUUUCAAGUGUAUUGAAGGGAGUCUAACGGUGGGGUUGAGGGGGGGUUUUAUAGGCUGAUUUUGUACCUUAGGAGAAUUAAUUGAAAGCUGAUUCCCCCCUUGUCCUCAUGUUGAAACCUAUCUCACUUUUGUGAUUUAGUAGUUACUCUACACUGAAAGCAAUUUGGUCUUUAGUUAGAGAUUACAAGUACAAGUCCCCUCAAAACUGAUUUUGGUUGAUUGUGUGACUAGGAAAGCUGGUGCGCAGGGGCUGUUUUGGAGGAGCAAAAAUGGCAGCUUUGACUUGCCUCUUUUGGUUUUGUAGGUGGGAAAGGAAGGUGUGGCUGUUGUGUUGUUCUCGGGCUAGGCUCGCUCCCCUCGGCCCGAUGGACUGCUCAAAGACUGGCAAUAGUUCGGGCUUGGAGAAGAGGCCCGAAGUGCAUCAAAAUUUAUCUUUUCUUUUCUUUGUUUUCUUUAUUUGAAGCCUUGUUCCAUGUAUUAAUAUUUUUUUGAAGUUAGUAGUUCGUUUAUUGUAUAAGAAACGCUAUUCGAAUUUCUUUAUACUUGGGAAAAGACUUCUUGUCCUUCUUCUUUCA